UCGAACGAGAAGUACGUAGCAAUACGUAUUGUAAAGUGGCGCACGGGUGAGUAACACGUUGGGUAAUCUGCCCUUGAGUUUGGGAUAACCCCGCGAAAGCGGGGCUAAUACCGAAUAAGACCACGGGGACCAAAGUCCCUGAGGUAAAAGGUGGCCUCUAUUUAUAAGCUACCACUUGAGGAUGAGCCCGCGGCCCAUUAGCUAGUUGGCAGGGUAACGGCCUACCAAGGCAAUGAUGGGUAGCUGGUCUGAGAGGACGAUCAGCCACACUGGAACUGAGACACGGUCCAGACUCCUACGGGAGGCAGCAGUGGGGAAUAUUGCGCAAUGGGCGAAAGCCUGACGCAGCAACGCCGCGUGGGGGAUGAAGGUUCUCGGAUUGUAAACCCCUUUCGAUCGGAACGAAUCCCCUCCUGGUAAAUAAUCAGGAGGAUCGACGGUACCGAGAGAAGAAGCCACGGCUAACUCUGUGCCAGCAGCCGCGGUAAGACAGAGGUGGCGAGCGUUGUUCGGAUUUAUUGGGCGUAAAGCGAACGCAGGUGGUUUGGUAAGUCAGGGGUGAGAGACCACAGCUUAACUGUGGCAUUGCCUUUGAUACUGCCUUUCUUGAGUAGAGUAGGGGGAAGCGGAAUUCCGAGUGUAGAGGUGAAAUUCGUAGAUAUUC
RNAcentral lists this ribosomal RNA (664 nucleotides) under uncultured bacterium. RNAcentral describes it as "bacterial SSU rRNA". It matches the Rfam family "Bacterial small subunit ribosomal RNA", at positions 62 to 699 of the family's 1533-position model. The record is from RNAcentral.